RNAcentral lists this ribosomal RNA (253 nucleotides) under uncultured bacterium. RNAcentral's name for it is "partial 16S ribosomal RNA". It matches the Rfam family "Bacterial small subunit ribosomal RNA", at positions 524 to 776 of the family's 1533-position model. The record is from RNAcentral.
UACGUAGGGGGCUAGCGUUGUCCGGAUUUAUUGGGCGUAAAGAGCGUGUAGGCGGCCAGGUAGGUCCGCUGUGAAAACUCGAGGCUCAACUUCGAGCUGUCGGUGGAAACUUUCUGGCUAGAGUCCGGAAGAGGAGAAUGGAAUUCCUGGUGUAGCGGUGAAAUGCGCAGAUAUCAGGAAGAACACCCGUGGCGAAGGCGGUUCUCUGGGACGGUACUGACGCUGAGACGCGAAAGCGUGGGGAGCGAACAGG